UGAAAACAAGACACCCUGCGUAUGAAGAACUCACUUGAGCACUAUGACCACGCAGGAGAGAUGGAAGAGCAGGAAAUAGAGCCGUGCCCCUUUGCUGGUGACGUGGACAAACCCCUCGGUAAGAAGUGGACAAUAGGUCAAGACUCUGGACUCUGAAGCCGCUGCAAUGAACAAAACACCUCGGCGCGGCUGAAGCUGGCGGCCUGAACCAGCCGGAAGGUGUAGAAGGCCAGGCAGCAGGACUCCACCAGCAUCGUGGCCUGCGCACGUGCGACGCCACUCGAGAACACUGGUUGGGAUGCUUACUGCAGUGCUAGGACUGUACAACUGAUCAAUUAGCUAUUCAUUUAAUUAAUUUCAGCUUUAAUCGCAAUCAAUUUCUUACCCAGUUUGAUCUUACUCCUAGUUGUGGCCAUGUUAACAUGCGACGACAAAGGCCAGUUCACA
Molecule: long non-coding RNA, 447 nt
Organism: Ixodes scapularis (black-legged tick)
Lineage: Eukaryota; Metazoa; Arthropoda; Arachnida; Ixodida; Ixodidae
Exons: 3
Source: RefSeq, a predicted model, not a curated record